RNAcentral lists this ribosomal RNA (468 nucleotides) under uncultured bacterium. RNAcentral's name for it is "partial 16S ribosomal RNA". It matches the Rfam family "Bacterial small subunit ribosomal RNA", at positions 28 to 507 of the family's 1533-position model. The record is from RNAcentral.
GACGAACGCUGGCGGCGUGCUUAACACAUGCAAGUCGAACGGAAAGGCCCUGCUUUUGUGGGGUGCUCGAGUGGCGAACGGGUGAGUAACACGUGAGUAACCUGCCCUUGACUUUGGGAUAACUUCAGGAAACUGGGGCUAAUACCGGAUAGGAGCUCCUGCUGCAUGGUGGGGGUUGGAAAGUUUCGGCGGUUGGGGAUGGACUCGCGGCUUAUCAGCUUGUUGGUGGGGUAGUGGCUUACCAAGGCUUUGACGGGUAGCCGGCCUGAGAGGGUGACCGGCCACAUUGGGACUGAGAUACGGCCCAGACUACUACGGGAGGCAGCAGUGGGGAAUAGUGCACAAUGGGCGGGAGCCUGAUGCAGCAACGCCGCGUGCGGGAUGACGGCCUUCGGGUUGUAAACCGCUUUCGCCUGUGACGAAGCGUGAGUGACGGUAAUGGGUAAAGAAGCACCGGCUAACUACGUG